Molecule: long non-coding RNA, 1031 nt
Filed under: Piliocolobus tephrosceles (Ugandan red Colobus)
Lineage: Eukaryota; Metazoa; Chordata; Mammalia; Primates; Cercopithecidae
Description: lncRNA (ENSPTEG00000020663.1)
Source: RNAcentral
GUGAUGGGGUAGAAAGUUGUUCCAAAUAUUAACUGGUCUCGUGAGAUGUCUUCUUGGCUGCAGCCUGACCAUCUAACGUACUGCUUUUCCUCCAGCUGCUGCCUCCUCCUUUCCCUCUGCCGCAGGCUGGAAUGAAGGGCGGCGGGUGGCCAGGGUGGGGGGGCGGGGAGGAGAAGGAGGAGCAGCAAAGUUGGCCAGGGUCCUGCUGGCUGGGGACCAGGACUGCCUCCCUAAACAAGCAAGCAGGGGCGCAUACAGCCCUGGGUUGAGUUGUUGCCCUUAAUCAUCUGGCCACAGCAGGAAUAAGAGGCUCCCGGAAAACCCUGGCUCUUGGCUAUCUCUUCCAUGAGCACACCCUCGCCCUGGGGCCUGAGAUCUCUCCAUGCAGAGGCAGCCAUGAACUGCGGGGGCAGCAGCAAGGCUGGCCACACCACCCACCCCGCCACCUCCGGCCCCGCCGCUCAACCAGCCAUCAGUCCCUUAACUGCCAGUGUUCGUGGACCAUGCAAAACAACCAACAGAUCCCAGCCAGCCUAGAAGCAGGCUCACGGUUUUCCAUGGAGGGCUUGGAUAGUAAACUGAUCCUGGAUGUUGGCGGCAUAUGCCACCUGAUCUACAUCAGCACCAUGAGGGCCUUUCCAGGUACCUGCCUCUACAAGCCAACUGAGCCAUCCCCGCCUGGCACCCCAGGUUCUCAGGGCCCACUGGUUCGAGAGCUUUUCUUUUCUUUUCUCUUUCUUUCUUUCUUUUUUUUUUUUUUGAAAUGGAGUUUCGUUCUUGUUGCCUAGGCUGGAGUGCAAUGGCACAAUCUCGACUCACUGCAACCUCUGCCUCCUGGGUUCAAGUGAUUUUCCUGCCUCAGCCUCCCAAGUAGCUAGGAUUACAGGUGUGUACCACUAUGCCCGGCUAAUUUUUUGUAUUUAGUAGAGACGAGGUUUCACCAUGUUGGUCAGGCUGGUCUGGAACUUCUGACUACAGGUGUGAGCCACUGUGGCCGGCCGAGAGUUUUUCUUUGACAGCAACCCUGAGCU